Molecule: ribosomal RNA, 524 nt
Filed under: uncultured bacterium
Lineage: Bacteria
Description: bacterial SSU rRNA
Rfam family: Bacterial small subunit ribosomal RNA
Source: RNAcentral
CCUACGGGAGGCAGCAGUGGGGAAUAUUGGACAAUGGGGGCAACCCUGAUCCAGCAAUGCCGCGUGUGUGAUGAAGGCCUUAGGGUUGUAAAGCACUUUCACUGGUGAAGAUGAUGACGGUAGCCAGAGAAGAAGCCCCGGCUAACUUCGUGCCAGCAGCCGCGGUAAUACGAAGGGGGCGAGCGUUGUUCGGAAUUACUGGGCGUAAAGGGCGCGUAGGCGGUCCUUUAAGUUAGGCGUGAAAGCCCCGGGCUCAACCUGGGAACUGCGCUUAAGACUGGAGGACUAGAAAACGGAAGAGGGUAGUGGAAUUCCCAGUGUAGAGGUGAAAUUCGUAGAUAUUGGGAAGAACACCAGUGGCGAAAGCGGCUACCUGGUCCGAUUUUGACGCUGAGGCGCGAAAGCGUGGGGAGCAAACAGGAUUAGAUACCCUGGUAGUCCACGCCGUAAACGAUGUCUGCUAGAUGUCGGGGGGUUGCCCCUCGGUGUCGCCGCUAACGCAUUAAGCAGACCGCCUGGGAAGU